GGGUAUUUAUGCCUUUCCCAUUUCUGAGGUGUAAAAUUAAACUCAAAAGAUAUAAACCACAAAAAUGAAAAGUUGCAACGUUGUCACCCCAGAGCCACACGUCGCACGAUGAUCAUCUCUGAGCUCUGCUUGUGCUUCCUCUUUCUCCAUCUCUUCAACAAGAACAAGAAGCUUCUUCUUCCUCUAGCUCCGAGAGCAUGAGCAUCCUCUUUUCUCCUCUCCCAAUCUUGGCUCCUCACUCUAAAUUCCUCUCCUUGCCUUUGAAACCCAGAACAAAAUAUCAUCAAUGCAGAGUUGCCAUAAAGCCACCACCCCCCAACUUCGACUUCAAGACUGAAUUUUUCAGCGCUUCUCGGGAUGCUAUUGAAGAAAGUCAUCCGGAAUUGCUUGAUUUGGCUGAUAGUGGAACUCUGUUUCUGAUAAAGAAGAGCCAAUACGGGCCUGUUCCAUCUUGGAGAAGUGAGUUUGUGGAACCAGAGGCCAUUUGGCUAAUUGGAACAAACCAUCUUUCUUUGGAAUCGGCCGUCGAUGUUGAAAGGGUUAUUCGUGCUAUUAGGCCUGAGAAUGUGGUUGUAGAGCUCUGCAGAAGUAGGGCUGGCAUCAUGUACAUUUCAGAGGAUAAGGAUCUCAAUCAGCCCUUAAAAUCAAACAUGUUUUCUUUGAGUGGGACCGGGUUUUUUGGUGCUGUUGGUCGUAGCAUAAAUUUGGGAGGUCAAACUGCUCUAGCAUUACGAGUCUUGCUGGCGCUUUUCUCUUCAAAAAUGUCUUCAGGUGUUAAUCGUCCUUUUGGAGAUGAGUUUCGUGCUGCUCGAAAGGCUGCUGAGGACAUUGGUGCUCAAAUAGUAUUGGGGGAUCGACCAAUAGAAAUAACUCUUGAACGAGCAUGGACUUCGCUAAAGUGGAAUGAGAAGAUGAACUUGAUGGUGUCUGUCUUUAGCGGAAUUACCUCAUCUACUGAACUAUCAACGAAGGCAUUAAAGGAAUCAAAUUCUGAUGAUAGCAACUUUCAGCUGUAUGAAAAGCUAAGCUUUACAUAUCCAUCACUUCUACAGCCACUCCUGCAUGAACGUGACACGUUUCUUGCGUGGUCUCUGAAGAGGAGUAAAGCUGUGAACAAGAGUAAGCAAGUGGUAGGAAUAAUUGGGAAGGGCCACAUGAAUGGAGUUAUAUAUUCUUUGGUGUCUGAUCAAGGAAACUUGCGUUUUCGAGAUCUAGCUGGGAACAAACCUUCAAAGGAGCUCUCUGGCUGGGCUACUACUAUAUUUGGAAACUUGCUAAGAGACACUGCAAUUGGUUUCCUACUAUGGCUAUUAUAUGAACAAAUAACCAGUGGAUUGAAACUUAUUGAUUAAACUCUACUACCAACUUCCAGGCUUCUUGUACGAUCCAGAAAAGACUCGACUCAACUUACACAGAUGAAUACUUGUAUCUGCACAGCCAUUAUGAAACAAGAUCGACUCCAUUUUUUGUGAACUAUUUCUCAAGCAAGGUAGCAGAGUCAUCAAAGAGUUGUGAGGAAUGGAAUAGUUAACAUCUCUCAUUCUCUUCGAAGAAUAGUUUACGAGUCAAGAGCCAUUUUUAGAAGAAAGAAAAGGUUAGCCCAGAAAAUGAUUCCAUAGCAUUAGAAGCUCAAGUAUCCCGAAAGAACGUGUGAAAUGGAGAUGUGGAAAAGAAGAAACAGUCUUAGACCUUAUUUUUGCUAUUUAAAAAAUUGAGAAUUUGAUCCUCCAGCUAAAACAGAAUGUGUUUCAAUAGCUGGAAGAGAAUGUUACUCAGUUCUCGUAACUGGCGUGACAAAAUCUGUUUUGUUUGUCAGUGUAUUCGCUUGUUUGCAAGAAAAAGAAACAGCUGAACUAAACUCCAAAUAAGAAGCAUAAAUAGAAUGUUGUCCAUCUCAUUA
RNA transcript from Nicotiana attenuata, 1900 nucleotides. It is a transcript of the gene named traB domain-containing protein, with no coding region annotated. The transcript has 8 exons. NCBI's taxonomy places the organism in Eukaryota, Viridiplantae, Streptophyta, Magnoliopsida, Solanales, Solanaceae. The record is from RefSeq and is a predicted model, not a curated record.